Molecule: ribosomal RNA, 253 nt
Filed under: uncultured bacterium
Lineage: Bacteria
Description: partial 16S ribosomal RNA
Rfam family: Bacterial small subunit ribosomal RNA
Source: RNAcentral
UACGUAGGGGGCAAGCGUUGUCCGGAUUUAUUGGGCGUAAAGAGCGUGUAGGCGGCCAGGCAGGUCGGUUGUGAAAACUCGAGGCUCAACCUCGAGACGUCGGCGGAAACCAUCUGGCUAGAGUCCGGAAGAGGAGAGUGGAAUUCCUGGUGUAGCGGUGAAAUGCGCAGAUAUCAGGAAGAACACCCGUGGCGAAGGCGGCUCUCUGGGACGGUACUGACGCUGAGACGCGAAAGCGUGGGGAGCGAACAGG